RNAcentral lists this unclassified non-coding RNA (344 nucleotides) under soil metagenome. RNAcentral's name for it is "partial contains 5.8S ribosomal RNA, internal transcribed spacer 2, and large subunit ribosomal RNA". The stretch from base 1 to 118 matches the Rfam family "5.8S ribosomal RNA", at positions 35 to 154 of the family's 154-position model. The record is from RNAcentral.
GAUGAAGAACGCAGCGAAAUGCGAUACGUAAUGUGAAUUGCAAAUUCAGUGAAUCAUCGAGUCUUUGAACGCACAUUGCGCCCCCUGGUAUUCCGGGGGCAUGCCUGUCCGAGCGUCAUUGCUGCCCUCAAGCACGGCUUGUGUGUUGGGCCCCGUCCUCCGAUCCCGGGGGACGGGCCCGAAAGGCAGCGGCGGCACCGCGUCCGGUCCUCGAGCGUAUGGGGCUUUGUCACCCGCUCUGUAGGCCCGGCCGGCGCUUGCCGAUCAACCCAAAUUUUUAUCCAGGUUGACCUCGGAUCAGGUAGGGAUACCCGCUGAACUUAAGCAUAUCAAUAAGCGGAGGA